RNAcentral lists this long non-coding RNA (862 nucleotides) under Homo sapiens (human). RNAcentral's name for it is "HSALNT0334288". The record is from RNAcentral. Lineage: Eukaryota; Metazoa; Chordata; Mammalia; Primates; Hominidae.
UAUGCUGGUGGCAAUACUGCUCUGUUAUUCUUUACUACACUGAGAUGUUUGGGUGGAGAGAAGCAUGAGUCUGGCCUAUGUGCACAUCCAGGCAUAGUACCUUCCCUUGAACUUAUUUGUGACACAGAUUCCUUUGCUCACAUGUUUUCUUGCCAACCUUCUCCCCGCUAUCACCCUGUUCUGCCACAUUCCCCUUGCUGAGAUAGUGAAAAUAAUAAUCAGUAAAUACUGAGGGAACUCAGAGACGGGGGCCGGUGCAGGUCCUCUGUAUGCUGAGCGCCAGUCUCCUGGGCCCCACUGUUCUUUCUCUAUACUUUGUCUCUGUGUCUUAUUUCUUUUUUUAGUCUCUCGUCCCACCUGACGAGAGAUACCCACAGGUGUGGAGGGGCAGGCCACCCCUUCAUCUGCCGCCAAUGUGGGUGCCUUUCUCUAAGGUGAAGGUACAUUAAGAACGUGAGCAUUGAGGACAGUCGACGAGAGAUUCCCGAGUACGUCCACCGUCAGCCUUGCGUUUCUACAGUUUAAACCGUGGUGGAUCGAUGGAGUACAAGAACAGUCCACAGGUGUAUCCACCAGCUCCGAAGAGACAGCGACCAGCAAGAACGGGCCAUAACGACGAUGGCAGUUUUGUCAAAAAGGGGGAUAUGUAGGGAAAAGAGAGAUCCGACUGUUACUGUGUCUACAUAGAAAAGGAAGACAUAAGAAACUCCAUUUUGAUCUGUACCCUGAACAAUUGUUUUGCCUUGAGAUGCUGUUAAUAUGUAACUUUAGCCCCAACCUUGUGCUCACGGAAAUAUGUGUUGUAUGGAAUCAAGGUUUAAGGGAUCUAGGGCUGUGCAGGAUGUGCCUUGUUAACAAAAUG